CAGAGGUACUGCUAUCGAGAUUCGACUAAGCCAUGCGAGUUGAAUGUUCUUCGUGAACAUGGCGGACUGCUCAGUAACACGUGGACAACCUACCCUUGGGUCCGGCAUAAUCCUGGGAAACUGGGAAUAAUUCCGGAUAGGUCACCGAUGCUGGAAUGCGCGGUGGCCGAAAGCUCCGGCGCCCGAGGAUGGGUCUGCGGCCUAUCAGGGUUGUAGUGGGUGUAACGUACCUACUAGCCUACGACGGGUACGGGUUGUGAGAGCAAGAGCCCGGAGAUGGAUUCUGAGACACGAAUCCAGGCCCUACGGGGUGCAGCAGGCGCGAAAACUUUACAAUGCGGGAAACCGUGAUAAGGGGAUCUCGAGUGCCAGCAUAUAAUGUUGGCUGUCCAGAUGCCUAAAAAGCAUCUGUUAGCAAGGGCCGGGCAAGACCGGUGCCAGCCGCCGCGGUAACACCGGCGGCCCGAGUGGUAACCGCUAUUAUUGGGUCUAAAGGGUCUGUAGCCGGCCAGGUAAGUCCCUUGGGAAAUCUGGCAGCUCAACUGUCAGGCUGCUAGGGGAUACUGUUUGGCUUGGGACCGGGAGAGGUGAGAGGUACCUUGGGGGUAGGGGUGAAAUCUUGUGAUCCUCGAGGGACCACCAGUGGCGAAGGCGUCUCACCAGAACGGGUCCGACGGUAAGGGACGAAAGCUAGGGGCACGAACCGGAUUAGAUACCCGGGUAGUCCUAGCCGUAAACGAUGCUCGCUAGGUGUCAGUCACGGUGCGACCGUGAUUGGUGCCGUAGGGAAGCCGUGAAGCGAGCCACCUGGGAAGUAUGGCCGCAAGGCUGAAACUUAAAGGAAUUGGCGGGRGMRCACUWCAGAYGGGUGGAGCCUGCGGUUUAUUG
RNAcentral lists this ribosomal RNA (888 nucleotides) under uncultured Methanosaeta sp. RNAcentral describes it as "bacterial SSU rRNA". It matches the Rfam family "Archaeal small subunit ribosomal RNA", at positions 18 to 907 of the family's 1478-position model. The record is from RNAcentral. Lineage: Archaea; Methanobacteriati; Methanobacteriota; Methanomicrobia; Methanotrichales; Methanotrichaceae.